This 406-nucleotide ribosomal RNA is filed under the name uncultured bacterium. RNAcentral describes it as "partial 16S ribosomal RNA". It matches the Rfam family "Bacterial small subunit ribosomal RNA", at positions 30 to 526 of the family's 1533-position model. The record is from RNAcentral.
AUUGAACGCUGGCGGCAGGCCUAACACAUGCAAGCCGGGCGAGCGGCGGACGGGUGAGUAAUGUAUGGGGGUCUGCCUGAUGGAGGGGGAUAACUACCGGCAACGGUAGCUAAUACCGCAUACCAUCAGAGGACACCAUAUGGGAUUAGCUUGUAGGUAAGGUAACGGCUUACCUAGGCGACGAUCCCUAGCUGGUCUGAGAGGAUGAUCAGCCACACUGGGACUGAGACACGGCCCAGACUCCUACGGGGGGCAGCAGUGGUGAAUAUUGCACAAUGGGCGCAAGCCUGAUGCAGCCAUGCCGCGUGUAUGAAGAAGGCCUUCGGGUUGUAAAGUACUUUCAGUCGGGAGGCGUUACCGACAGAAGAAGCACCGGCUGACUCCGUGCCAGCCGCCGCGGUAAUUC